Molecule: ribosomal RNA, 405 nt
Filed under: uncultured bacterium
Lineage: Bacteria
Description: partial 16S ribosomal RNA
Rfam family: Bacterial small subunit ribosomal RNA
Source: RNAcentral
AUUGAACGCUGGCGGCGUGCCUAAUACAUGCAAGUCGAGCGAAGCGGGGACGGGUGCGUAAAACGUGGAUAACCUCCUAUAAGACUGGGAUAACUUCGGGAAACCGGAGCUAACCCGGAUACGUCUAGAUUGAUCCGCGCUGCAGUAGCUAGUUGGUAAGGUAACGGCUUACCAAGGCAACGAUGCCUAGACGACCUGGGAGGGUGAUCGGCCACACGGGAACUGAGACACGGUCCAGACUCCUACGGGAGGCAGCAGUAGGGAAUCUUCCGCAAUGGGCGAAAGCCUGACGGAGCAACGCCGCGUGAGUGAUGAAGUUCUUCGGAUCGUAAAACUCUGUUAUUAGGGAAGCGGUACCUAAUCAGAAAGCCACGGCUAACUACGUGCCAGCAGCCGCGGUAAUAC